GGUUGCGAUCAUACCAGCACUAAUGCACCGGAUCCCAUCAGAACUCCGUAGUUAAGCGUGCUUGGGCGGGAGUAGUACUAGGAUGGGUGAUCCCCUGGGAAGUCCUCGUGUUGCAACCC
This 119-nucleotide ribosomal RNA is filed under the name Helianthus annuus (common sunflower). The record is from RNAcentral. Lineage: Eukaryota; Viridiplantae; Streptophyta; Magnoliopsida; Asterales; Asteraceae.